GACAUCAUAUCUGGACCUGGAUCUU
RNAcentral lists this non-coding RNA (25 nucleotides) under Rattus norvegicus (Norway rat). The record is from RNAcentral. Lineage: Eukaryota; Metazoa; Chordata; Mammalia; Rodentia; Muridae.